This 624-nucleotide ribosomal RNA is filed under the name Curculionidae sp. NZAC 03012336. RNAcentral describes it as "partial 28S ribosomal RNA". Lineage: Eukaryota; Metazoa; Arthropoda; Insecta; Coleoptera; Curculionidae. The record is from RNAcentral.
AAACCCGAAAGGUCGAAGGGAGAAAUUCAUUCGCGUCUCGACGCGGGCAUCGGACGGAGUCGAGCGACGGAGACGUGUUCGCACGUAUAUMGCGCCCUCCGUUUGGCGAACCCGCGACGAACGCGUGCACUUUUCUCCUGGUAGKACGUCGUGAUCCGUUGKGCGUCCGGUCUACGGCCCGCGGUSGAGCUCGUCCGUACGUUUCGCGACGUACGGGCGSACCCGCGGSGUCCCGGCCGACUCGCUCGACGGUAACAGAAUGGUUGGAGGCCGCUCCUCGGAGCGUUCGGCUCGCGGCAAGCGCSCCAGAUGCRUCGGCGAUCGGACCUAGUSCCGAUUCCGACCUCCGGUGACUGUUGGCCGYGAAGUUCUCGAACAGACCUUCUAAAACAACUUUCUSUCGUUCGCGCGGGGGAGAGUUGAAACCGAUCUKCGACGCUAUAGCUUUGGGUAAUUUCAGGACCCGUCUUSAAACACGGACCAAGGAGUCUAGCAUGUACGCGAGUCAUUGGGAACGAUUMAACCUAAAGGCGCAAUGAAAGUAAAGGUCCCCCUCGCGGGGACCGAGGGAAGACGGGUGGUUUCACUUCAACCGGUGGCCGCCCCGCACUCCCGGGGCGUCUA